RNAcentral lists this ribosomal RNA (497 nucleotides) under uncultured bacterium. Its description in RNAcentral is "partial 16S ribosomal RNA". It matches the Rfam family "Bacterial small subunit ribosomal RNA", at positions 28 to 507 of the family's 1533-position model. The record is from RNAcentral.
GAUGAACGCUGGCGGCGUGCCUAAUACAUGCAAGUCGAGCGAACAGACGAGGAGCUUGCUCCUCUGACGUUAGCGGCGGACGGGUGAGUAACACGUGGAUAACCUACCUAUAAGACUGGGAUAACUUCGGGAAACCGGAGCUAAUACCGGAUAAUAUAUUGAACCGCAUGGUUCGAUAGUGAAAGACGGUUUUGCUGUCACUUAUAGAUGGAUCCGCGCCGCAUUAGCUAGUUGGUAAGGUAACGGCUUACCAAGGCAACGAUGCGUAGCCGACCUGAGAGGGUGAUCGGCCACACUGGAACUGAGACACGGUCCAGACUCCUACGGGGGGCAGCAGUAGGGAAUCUUCCGCAAUGGGCGAAAGCCUGACGGAGCAACGCCGCGUGAGUGAUGAAGGUCUUCGGAUCGUAAAACUCUGUUAUUAGGGAAGAACAAAUGUGUAAGUAACUAUGCACGUCUUGACGGUACCUAAUCAGAAAGCCACGGCUAACUACGUG